UACGUAGGGUGCGAGCGUUGUCCGGAAUUACUGGGCGUAAAGAGCUCGUAGGUGGUUUGUCGCGUUGUUCGUGAAAACUCACAACUCAAUUGUGGGCGUGCGGGCGACACGGGCAGACUGGAGUACUGCAGGGGAGACUGGAAUUCCUGGUGUAGCGGUGGAAUGCGCAGAUAUCAGGAGGAACACCGGUGGCGAAGGCGGGUCUCUGGGCCGAUACUGACGCUGAGGAGCGAAAGCGUGGGGAGCAAACAGG
Molecule: ribosomal RNA, 253 nt
Filed under: uncultured bacterium
Lineage: Bacteria
Description: partial 16S ribosomal RNA
Rfam family: Bacterial small subunit ribosomal RNA
Source: RNAcentral